Molecule: long non-coding RNA, 756 nt
Filed under: Homo sapiens (human)
Lineage: Eukaryota; Metazoa; Chordata; Mammalia; Primates; Hominidae
Description: HSALNT0391639
Source: RNAcentral
AUCUUUCUGUGCUGUGGAAGGUUUGUUCUUUCACUCUGCACUAUUUUGCAAUAAAUAUUGCUAUUGCUCACUUUGGGUUUAUAUUGCCUUUAUGAGCUGUAACACUCACCAUGAAGGUCUGCAGCUUUACUCUUGAAGCUUAGCGAGACCACUAACCCACCAGAAGGAAGAAACUCCGGACACGCCGCCUUUAAGAACUGUAAUACUCAGUGCGAGGGUUCACGGCUUCAUUCUUGAGGUUAGUAAGACCAAGAAUCCACAAAUUCCAGACACAACAUGAAAGACAACGAGGAGGGAGCAGCUAGAGGGGUGGAAAUGGGAUCACGUGACCUUGCGAGAAGCAGGGAGAGAGAACACUGCGUCUGCUCCCUUUUAGAACAGCUCAAUAUAGGGAAUCCCUAACAGAGGACUUCCAGGAUAUCCUAGGGACAGCAGAGCCUCAAGAUCCAGGGAGGAUCCUGGAUACCUGAGUCACCACUUGGAGGGGAAUCUCCUGGAAGAACUGAUUGAUCAGCAACAUCUACAUUCAACUUGAGGUGAGUGAGAAAUAAACCACUGAGCAGUUUUAUUAAACCACCAAGAUUUUUGGGCCAGUUGCUAGCUUUAAUUACCCUAAUUACUACAGUCAGUAGGCUCAGCUGGUGCUCAGUGUUGCUCCUACUCCCCCUUUCUGUGUCAAAUUACCCCAGAGAACAAUCAAACUUCUCAUCUUAACCAUUACCAAAUCAGAUUGUCUUGGUGAUUUUAGCCUGUGCU